UGGCAUGUUAAACCAAGAGUUGUGGCUUAGCCGGUGGCCACAAGAUCUCCAACAACAUGCAAGAAUGAGAUGGGAAGGACUUUGGCUUUCCAGCUGUUGGUAGCUGAGGAUGUCACUCGACCUUUCUACAUUC
Molecule: small nucleolar RNA, 133 nt
Organism: Naja naja (Indian cobra)
Lineage: Eukaryota; Metazoa; Chordata; Lepidosauria; Squamata; Elapidae
Source: Ensembl